ACGGGAGGCAGCAGUGGGGAAUAUUGGGCAAUGGGCGAAAGCCUGACCCAGCGACGCCGCGUGAGGGAAGAAGGUCUUCGGAUUGUAAACCUCUUUCAGCAGGGAAGAAGAAAGUGACAUUACCUGAAGAGUAAGCUCCGGCUAACUACGUGCCAGCAGCCGCGGUAAUACGUAGGGAGCGAGCGUUGUCCGGAUUUACUGGGUGUAAAGGGUGCGUAGGCGGGCUUGCAAGUCAGGCGUGAAAUACCGGGGCUUAACUCCGGGGCUGCGCUUGAAACUGUAAGUCUUGAGUGAAGUAGAGGCAGGCGGAAUUCCCAGUGUAGCGGUGAAAUGCGUAGAUAUUGGGAGGAACACCAGUGGCGAAGGCGGCCUGCUGGGCUUUAACUGACGCUGAGGCACGAAAGUAUGGGGAGCAAACAGGAUUAGAUACCCUGGUA
Molecule: ribosomal RNA, 437 nt
Filed under: uncultured Clostridium sp.
Lineage: Bacteria; Bacillati; Bacillota; Clostridia; Eubacteriales; Clostridiaceae
Description: partial 16S ribosomal RNA
Rfam family: Bacterial small subunit ribosomal RNA
Source: RNAcentral